Long non-coding RNA from Capsicum annuum, 4939 nucleotides. RefSeq lists it as uncharacterized. Lineage: Eukaryota; Viridiplantae; Streptophyta; Magnoliopsida; Solanales; Solanaceae. The record is from RefSeq and is a predicted model, not a curated record. The transcript has 3 exons.
UGUACUUGUUUUUAGUGGUACGAUCUUUUGAUCUUACGAAUCAAAAUUAGUCAAGGAUUCCAAAACAAAAAAAAUUGUCUCCCUCUCUCUUUCCCAAAAACCAUAACGCGUAUCUCUCCUCUUCCCAAAAUCAGCUUGCGGUCACCAUCAUUUUUCCAAAAUCAGCUCCAACCACGGACCUUCUCUCCUCCUCAUCCCUCACCCCUCACCCCUCACCCCUCAUCUACCAUCCCGAAAUAAGGAACCCUAAUCUCCACCCAAGCCUGCCGCUAGGAUGCUCGAGAAUCUCGUUUUUAGUGUCACCCUAACCCGUGAAAAUGAAAAGACGGAGAAAACAGACCCUAAAUCGAUGAUAACAAUGGAAAAGAAAUUCGUAUUCGCAAUCAAUGGCCUGAAAAGUUAAAGAUUCGGAAGAGGAUUCGUUUCUGAGAUUCAUUUCAAAUUUCAAAUCAAUUCUCUCACGUUUUGCUUAAUUUGUGUCUUGGAUCCGGACUUUCAAGUCCGGAUUCACCUAUAAAUACGUCAUCUCUAAGGGAACAAGAAAAAAAACAGUGUUAAGAGAAGGAACAAAGAAAACUAGCGAGAAAGAUUGAAAAAAGAACCAAUGAGAAAAGGUUUGAAAAAUUUGUGACAAAAGAGGAGAAAAGAGUGGAAAUCAAAGAGAGAAGCGAGUGAUGCAGGAAAAAAUCGGCUAUUAUCUUUCUGAUUUGGUCCAAUUCUGGGGUCCCGUGGUUGAGUUUGCAGUUGUCGGAAACCUUUAGGCGUCAAAGCCUCUAUUUUGCUGCACCAAGAAAGGUGGUUACACACAAUCUGUCUUGAGCCGGGGGUCUAUCGGAAACAGCUUCUGUACUCCUUCGGGGUAGUGGUAUGGACUGCGUACAUUUUAUCCUCCCAGAUCCCACUAUGUGGGGAAUAUACUGGUUUUGUUGUUGUUGUUGUUAUUGUUGUUAUUGUUGUAUGGUCUCGUGAACAAUCGGAAAUGAUUUUCCACCCCGUUUUGAUUGUAUUAUUCUCCCGAUUUUGCCAGACUUGGCUGAAUGGUAAUUCUUAAGACUUAAAACAUUUGUUUUCCCGUUUGAAAUAUGACUUCCAAAACCUCCCUUUUCUAAUAGUUUUCAUGUCCAGAUGGUCAUAGGACUCACAUCUGUGAUGUUCAAGUAGUAUUAAAUUUUUGUUUACGUCAAAAUUUUGUAUUUGGUUGAUUUUUCUUUUAAGAAAGUGGGGUAAAAUUUUGUAUCUAUGGCUUAAAUUGAUAUGGCAUCAUCACGUACCUAUUUUAUUAUCUCUCUGCGUAGUUGCAUUUCCUCAAGUUCAAAUUGAAUAAAAGUGUGUGGUGUUUUUACUUGAGCCUUGUUAAAUAAUUUUAUCUAGCCUCAAUUCUCAUUCUCACAUAUGUCCGGUGUCAAAAUAGGUGAACAUGCAAUUCAUGUUGGUUUCAAAUUCGGCCGUGGAGUUAUUCUGGUCUAAAUUAAAUUACAAUUUUCUAUAAAUAUGGCAAUUCCGUGUUUAGAAUAUGUGAUGUAUUUUGUUCCCAGUGAAUUCAAAAUGCAAAGUCAACGAAGUUGGUAAUUGAGUCAAGUUUUGUGCUUCUUUAUUUGGUCUGGACGGACAUUCACACGAGCAUUUCAAGAAUUAAAUAUAUGGCCUUACUUAUUUUCGUUCACUGUAUAGUCUUAAGGCGCGUAUUGUAUUUCUUUAAUCACUUCCUGGAAGAGUAAAAAUUGGAAAGAGGAUGGUAAGUGUAACUAGAAACCCUUUUCUGUUUGGCCUUUUGAUAGGUCGUUAAGUUUCCAUUAUGAAAGGGACAAUGUGUGUAAUUAAUGAAUUAGUUGCUUUAAAGUGUCCCGGUACUUCUUCACGCGUGUGCAUCUAUAGUAAAGUUUAUUGGCAAUAGUUCCCCUUUGGUGGUAGUCUUUCAAAGAAUUAAGAGUAUUUUGUUCGAGUUUAGUAUCUGUUUGAUCACAUUUUAGACAUUUCGAAGUUUAAAUGUUUGUUCUUUCUUAAUUUCAUUUUCUGGGCUUAUUACUUGACUCUCAGAUUCCUAAUUUGUCACGACCCAAAUGCGAGAGUCAUGAUGACACUUAUCACGGCGUAUCUUGACAAGUAAGCCUAUCACCCAAAUUGAUACAAAAAGAGGAAAAGAUAGAAACAUCUCAAGGUAAGACUUCUAAAACGAAGCUGAACCAUAUAAGUAAUUAUAACAAUGCGGAAAACUCUUAUUCAAAAUACCAAUCAUGCCCAAAAUCAGGUGUCAAUAGUGUAAGAAACACUAAUACAAUUCAGGAGUCAAAUACAUCAGAAAAAUAAAUAAAAGAAAAUAAUAUAUGUCUCCGAAUACUAAUAAAGACAUAACUACAAUAGAAGCAUAGAGGUGAACUCCGGAUGCUUCAAUAAUUGCUCGAGUCAAGCAAGCCAAGGCGCACUCGAGCUAGGACCUGCACCGAAAGACUGCUGUAGGCAUGAGUAUGGUUCACUUGUACUCAGUAGGUAUCAUAGGCCGAUUAAACAAAGUAGUAAAUAAAGCAUACAAAAUAUACACUAAGGGCACGCCACCUGCAAUUAAAAAAUGUCCCAUGAUGGUAGCUGACACCGCUUGUACUAAUAGUUCUAUAAUAUCCAUAUAUAAUACAACAACACACAAGAUACGAAUACAAAUAUACACAUUAUCACAUACAGGUAGAACAAAAGAGGGGCAUGUAUAAUCAAGACCAUCAAGUACAUUUAAAGGAAGAUAGAACAAUUAGACAUUAACAAGUCAAGAUAUAGAACAAAUAGGUAAAUGACAAGUCAAUAUGUCAAUUCAAACACAACAUAAACACAAUAAGGCGGGUGCAAUAUAUAUGAUGAUGAUGAUGAUGCAUGGUAUUGACACAUAGCCUCAAGUUUCACACACAACCUCAAGUUUGGCACACAACUUUAAAUUUAACAAACAACCUCAAGUUUGGCACACAACCUUAAAUUUGGCAAACAGCCUCAAGUUUGGCAUAUAACCUCAAGAUCACCAAUAUCCACAAUUUUUCUCUGGCAUGAUCAUUUGAAGAUGGUUCACAAAAUCCAAUAUCCGAUACCAAUAUCUAGUAUUCCAAUGUUUUCAGUAUUUUCAAAGCACAUACAUAACAUAAGACAUAAAUCAAAUACACAUAUAUGACAACAAGUAUAUAUAAAGCAGUAAAACGAACAAGUGAAAUGAUGUGUAUGAUGACAUGAGAAUGACGAUGCAAUGUUCACAAUCAUUCAAAAUGAGUAUUUCCACAACCAAAUCACGUGAUAUAUUUUCACGCCUAAUCCACAUGAUGUAUUUCUACAACUAGCCAUAAUGUUACAAUUCUACAAUCACGUGAGCCAAUAUUAAGGCUGUUCAAAAUCGAAUCGUAUCCAAUAAGCCAUCCGCAAAAUUGACUUAUUGGCUUAUUGAUAUUGGCUAUCGGAUAAACGGUUGGUGAACGCAUUAAAAUUUUUUUCAUUAACGGCUUAUUAAAGUGGGGGUGGAUUACACUAUUUCCUUAUUGGAUAAACCGUUAACCCGUUAAAAAUUAUCAUAUAUUCUUAUAUUUUUCACCUAAAUGUGUAAAAUACAUAUUAAUUUAUAUUAUAUUAUAAAAUAUAAAUUCAAACCUAAUGGAUCUAUAUUCGAACCUAAAGGCCCAUUCCUAAUUAACCUCGAAUAAUAUAAAAAUUAAACAGUAAAGUACUAAAGUUAUCAACGCAAAAAAGCAAAGCAACAGAAGGUUUGCCAACUUCAAAAGCUCUACCGACUUUAAACUUUAAAUAUAUUUUUCAAAGGAAAGAAAACAGCAUUAGGGGCUAAAGUUGGUUGGCUAGAAAAGGAAAUCCAGGAAAUAGUUCCUGAUAUUAAGCAUGUGGACAUUGAAGCACAUAGUUUAAUUAGUGCAUCCUCGUGAGCUUGUUACGAUCAAAUGCUUAAUUUGUUGUAAUAUAUGUCACUUUUGUUUCAAGAAUAUCAUAAUGUGGAGAAAUUAAUGUAUUAUAGCUUGGGCAAAUGAAACUUUUUGCUUACAAUAUUGAGAGUUCUCUUUGAACCAUGUACUACAUAAAUUGAAAAAUUUGUUAUGAUUGAGAUUGCCAAUUAUUAUGUUCUGUUUUCUGUAAGGUGUUUGAAUUCAAGUAGAAAUUGUGAAUGUCCAAUAAACCGUCUGAUAACCGCCCGAUAAUUAUUUAUCCGUUACCAAACCAACCGAUAUCUUAUUGGUUGGCUAGUAGAUUUGUAUAUUUUAAAAUCGAUAAUUGUUAAGCCAAACUGUUAUAUUUAAUGGUUCAUCCGAUCCGUCCGAUAAGCAGCCUUAGCCAAUAUCCACUCAUUACUUCUGUUUCAUCCAUGAAUUUUCACAUGUCUCAUAUACCAAUAAGUAUGGAUAUAUCACAAUAUACCAAUGAAACCACAUUAGGCAUUUCAACAACACAAUAGAAUUAUUCACAUGUAUUCAAGGUUAACAAUGUCACAUAGGACCCCACACGAUCACACAUCACAUAAUAUCUCAAUUACGAUAAUUACAUCUUAUAUAGGCCUCCACACGUGCACAAUACAUAGAUAGACAUUUUUUAUGAUUAGUUCCCAUCCACAUUUUUUAUUAACAUUUACUACCCAGCCAGUCUGAAAGAGUUAAGCCAUAACUUAUCUCAAAAGUCGAAAUCGGUUCGCUACAUUCCGAACCCACGAUCUUACUUUUCAUGAAAAUUCUUAAACUUCACUAAAAACAUCAAAUAUGAAAUCUAUGCAUCAAAACAAAACCAACAACACCUAUAUUGACUACUUUUAGUUCGGGCUCAAAACGAACCCCAAAACGAGUUUCCAAAAGAGAAAGGCAGAAUCGAAACUUUACUUCAAAAACAUGUUCUCCAUAUUUUUAGAAAUCUAUAGCUGAAAACCCAAGUCAAAUCGAGUAAAAAAAGAGGUUCAAAUUGAAGAAAAACCAUUUUU